UAAAAGUUUUUGGUUGCCCUGACAGAAAUAUGAAAAAUGAGAUCAGAUACAGUGGGUUGUGUUUUUUAAUUAUUUUUUCAAUUAAUAAGCAUUAAUUUUCUUCCCUUCCCCCUCCAAUUUAAAGGGAAAAAAACCCAUACCUUCAUAUCAAAUAUGAAGAGCUAAGCAAAACAAAUGACCACAUUGUCCAUGCCUCAAAAUAUGUGUGUCUUUCUGCAUCAUGAGUUCAUCACCUCUCUGUCAGAAGGUAGAUUCGUGACCCUCCCUCUACAAUAAUGGAGAGUCAUUACAUUGAUCAGAAUUCUUAAGUCUUUGAAAGAUGUCUCUCUUUACAAAUAUCCUUGUUAAUGUAUAAAUUGUUCUGGUUCUAUUAAUUUCACUCUGCAUCAGUUCACUCAAAUCUUCCCAGGUUUCUCUGAAGCUCUCUUUUCAUCAUUUCUUUUUAACACAGUAGUGUUCCAUUCCAUAAUUUGUUCAGCCAUUCCUCUGUGGAGGGACACCUCCUUAGUUUCCAGUUCUUUGUUACCACAAAAAGGAGCUACUAUAAAAUAUUUUUGUACAUAAGAGUCCUUUCCUUCUUUUUGAGAUCUUUGAAGUAUGUUUGUGAUGGCAUCAUUGCAUAACGAGAAUGGCACAGUUUAGUAAAUUUGGGGACAGAGUUCCAAAUUGCUCUCCAGAAUGACUGCAUCAAUUCAAAGCUUCACCAAAAGGUGGAAUUAAUAUACAUUUGGCCAAAUGAAAUGUGAGAUUAAAAAGUAGGACAGUGGGAGUCUUUGAUGUUAAAAGAUAUCUUUUCAAAGUUAGUGAGGCCGAGGAUUUUGGGAUUCAUAGAAUACUAAGAUAUUCCUAACCUGGUUCUCUCUGUCUUCAUUGUUUUUCCCAGAAACUGCAUAAGGCCACCUUCAUGGAGUUCCAAGGUGAAUUGGAGAAACAUAUGAAUACCUUAUCAUCUGGUGGCAGAGCAAGUCCAAGAUUCACAGCAGUGUCAAACGUUCCAGAGAGCUCCAGAAGGUUGAAGACUGAAAAAGAAAAACCAGAAGAUUUGGCUCUUAAGACAUCAUCAGUCACUUUGAAGAGGGCAGUUUCAGUUGAAUAA
This 1096-nucleotide long non-coding RNA is filed under the name Monodelphis domestica (gray short-tailed opossum). Its description in RNAcentral is "lncRNA (ENSMODG00000050573.1)". Lineage: Eukaryota; Metazoa; Chordata; Mammalia; Didelphimorphia; Didelphidae. The record is from RNAcentral.